Triticum dicoccoides is the source of this 3534-nucleotide long non-coding RNA. RefSeq lists it as uncharacterized. The record is from RefSeq and is a predicted model, not a curated record. NCBI's taxonomy places the organism in Eukaryota, Viridiplantae, Streptophyta, Magnoliopsida, Poales, Poaceae. The transcript is spliced from 3 exons.
ACGUCCAAUUUACUCUGCCCCGCAAUUAUCUCCUCCGAAACUCACGUGUCUUUCCUGGCUAUCCCGAACCCCUUCUCCACCAGCAGCCAUAGCCAAUCCCGCGACCCCCUUCUCCAUCCGCCGCGGCCGCCGCCGCCGCCAAUCCCGCGACCCCCUUCUCCAUCCGCCGCGGCCGCCGCCGCCGCCACUCCCGUGCUCCCCUUCUCCACCGCCGCCGCCGCUGCACCCCACUCCCCACGCCGCACCGAUUCCCUUCCCUCCCCUCUAACUCCUCCGCCGGAGCUUCAUUAUCAGAACUGCUUGGCCCUGGUACGUUGCAGCCGCGCCCGCGCCGCGGUAGAUUUGGUGGUGGAAGAAUCUUCGAAUAGUCCAUGCGUCCGCGUUUCUUCUUCUGCUCCUCUCGCGUUGUAGCCUGGGGGGUUGGGACACGGCACCGCCUGAGCUGGUUCCUGUUGCCCGCUGUGGUGGUCCGCCGGGGCUUCAUUACCGGAGAAGCUUGGGCCUGCGCCCUACCGGCGCACCCAGCCGAGCGCCCCAUCCAACAAGCGACGCCACGGCUGAGGCGCUACAUGUGUAUUUAUACAUCGAGCUCCAUGAGGCGAGCAAUGCAGCGAGUAUUUAUACAUCGAUGGAUCGAUACAUGUGUGAUUGUGUUCGCCUCUUCCUUAACUUGCUGACAAAGGGUCCUCUUCAUGCCCUCCCUCGACCCCUCGACAGCUCUUCGCAGCAGGCAGGUCGCCACACACGAGAUAUUCUAAGUCGCCGGAUUAGAGGAGAGGAAAAAUUGGUAUGCUGUCUCUUUAAGUGCAGGAUGUUUUUUUAGGGAGAACCUGAGCCUGAAGACGACCCAUAUAAGGAUAUAUCUGAGAGGUAUACGUACAGGUCUACGAACUCAUCUCCAGGUUAUAUUUGAGAACGCACCAGCCUUAAAUCCAAGAUCUGGAAGUGGACAUAUCAAUCCCGUGCAACACAAUCUUGGAUAAAUUAGUUUGUUUUCUGGUCCAGAUGAUUUUUUCAAGUGCAGAAAUAAAAUAGACAUGGUUAGUCUGAGGUAUUCCUGUCUGAUUUUCUUUAGGUUUCUACCUAUUAUUGUUUGUCUUUUGAGUUAUGAGUUAUGUUGACGUGAAUGCAACUGAUGGAUGAUUUCUUAGUUUGAGAAUUACAGUAUUUUGUUCUCAAGAUCUAUAUCCCGGAUUACAAUUAUGUACACUCGAUUUUCUGCAUCAUUCCAUCAAAAUUUGUUCCAUGGAAACACUAUCAAAUUAUGCCUAACUUUUCUCUAGAUUGUGCUUAUAGCAAAACAUUUCCAGGAUCAAUCCUUUUACCACCUCCUGUCAGCUAUGCAGCAGACGAGCUCACCUCAAGGGAGUGCACUGUGCCUGGCGCACUCAACUCAGUGGAGCGCAUGGCGAUGGCUGAAGUUCUACUACUUCAGUUUUUUUUUUGUCUAACUGAACCACAUUUGAGAUUUUUGUUGUCGAUUUUGCGAGAGGAAGUGUUUGCUUUAGACAUGCAAAAUUUGUUCCAAAAACCAAAGGAAAUGAUGUAAGUCAUUGAGUGCCAUCUGGUGAAACAAUAUCUUGAAGGACUAGGAUAAACUGGUUGUAUGUCAUGAACCUUUCCCUGAAAGGCUUCAGAACCACAUCCAAAAUCUGAAGGAAAUGUUGUAAGGCAUCGAGUAUUGUAUUUUUUCUAUUGAGGGAUAUCAUCCAAAAAAGAAACACUCAUACACUAACAUUGCAGUAACCUUUUGUUCGGUUAUAAUCAUGUCUGUAGUACAAUAUGUCAUCAGGCAUUUAUCGAGUUAUUAAGCAACAUGGCAUUGUCUAUAUGGGUCGUCUUCAGGUAAACUAUCACUGGAUGCACAGUUUUUUUUUUAUUUGGUCAAGAAGUAGAAGGCAUGAGAAGAAUUAAACUAUUUCAUGUAUUGUUGUUUAUAUCUAGGCAAAUUAUUACUGGUUGUGCUAGCAUGGCAUGCAAAAUAUUGUGUGUGAGAGGCUAUGAAGCUGUGAUUUAGGAUGUCAAAUAAGAUGGCUUCUAAGGUCUUCAACCAUCGUGGAAAGGUGAGCUCCAAGAAUUGGUGCUUCAAGAAAGGUGAGCUCCAAGGUAUUUUUUGCUUUUUUUGCUAGCUCCAAGAAUUCCAUGCUAGCUCCAAGAAUUUUUGCUUCAAUGAAAAUCAGAACAUCAGUACAGAUUACAUGUUAGGGGUUGCAUUUUUUGCUUUUUUGUAUAUUGGAUUAUUUAAGAAGCUGAUAUUCUUUUCUUUAGUAAUGGGUAGAUGAAAGUUAAGCAGAACAUAGUCUGUAAUUGAUGGUCCAGUGAGAAAGUGAUUUAAGUCGGCGCUGCUGCCAAUGGGUGGCAGUGCCCCUGCUCCUGGAUCAUCACUCAACCAUAUUUUUGGCUGCAACUGGAAAUAGGAUGUUGAAGGAAGUUUUACGACUACCAAGGUACUUUUUUUUACAACCUCUGAUUGUCAACUUUCUUCAAAGAUGCAUCACUGUUGUAUCCUCUCCUACAAUAUAAAAGCUUUUGUCAUGAUAUUUCUGGUUGCGGUUUCGUAAACUGAACAAUCAUCAAAAUGCACAAGUCUUUUCAUAUUGAAACUGUACUUUCAUUGAACCUUCUGCUUCCAGCCAUAUAUCAUAUAGAGAGUAAGCUUGGUGGGAGAAUACAACAGACAUUCAGUUAUAGAAGUUAAAAGGCACAGAAAACAUGGCACACGAAGGAGCCGGAAUAAAAGAAAUCAGAAAAUUGGAUGUCGUCUCCUAGCAAAAUCUCUUUUGUUCCUUUCAUAUUUUAUAUCUACGGGUCACAUGGAGGUGCUUUGCCAUUCUUCAUGGUUUCAUAUUGAGAUUUAUAUGCAACUGUUUCAUAUACAGGUAUGAACAUUGUUUUCAAAUUCAGUGACCAUUCCUGAAAGAAAAAAAAUGAUGGCCAAUUGCAUUGUCUUCUGGAAUGUAAUUUAUGCACCAUGGAGUACUAGCAUAGGACAGAUGUAUUGGUUGUAGACCAUGGUGAAAGGCUUUAUGAAUUAAAAUUUACAAGUGUGUGAGUAAUAUAUUGCCAUCCAUCCAUAGAUUUUUACUCACUUCAUUGUUCGGCACAGUUUAAUUGUCAGUGUCCAAAAUGCAUAUGAUUUUAUUUUGUACUCCCAGCCAAUUACAGCUUUACUGGUUCUUUUAAAAUUAAAUGGAAGUAGAUACUGGUUUCAGCUUCUAAACAAAUGUUUGACAGAUUCCCUUUCAAUUUGAGUCACAGGAAAUGGAGUGUUUACCCGAGGGUUCGUGGAAGAAAUCUACGUGCCAUCAUGAGGAAAGAGGGAACGACCUACGGCAUGGGAUACCGAAGAGUGAAAACUGUAGUUCUGUUUUGUUCUUCAAAUAGAUCUUUUUAUUGGGACCACUUUAUGUUGUAUAGUGAAAUCAUGUUAUAUACUAUAAUCAUGUUGUCUUGAGAAGAAUCAAGCAAGAAUUAACUUGUCCAGUGACUAUGUUUAACAAUGGUGGGGACUGGAGGAAUAAUUAGUAUAUUUAA